This 22-nucleotide microRNA is filed under the name Brassica oleracea (wild cabbage). RNAcentral describes it as "bol-miR9409". The record is from miRBase by way of RNAcentral. Lineage: Eukaryota; Viridiplantae; Streptophyta; Magnoliopsida; Brassicales; Brassicaceae.
UUUUGUUCAUGACUGCAUUUUC